RNAcentral lists this microRNA (19 nucleotides) under Tribolium castaneum (red flour beetle). Its description in RNAcentral is "tca-miR-3811b-5p". The record is from miRBase by way of RNAcentral. Lineage: Eukaryota; Metazoa; Arthropoda; Insecta; Coleoptera; Tenebrionidae.
UUCUUACUUGCGGUGUACA